Long non-coding RNA from Corvus hawaiiensis (hawaiian crow), 1200 nucleotides. RefSeq lists it as uncharacterized. The transcript has 3 exons. The record is from RefSeq and is a predicted model, not a curated record. NCBI's taxonomy places the organism in Eukaryota, Metazoa, Chordata, Aves, Passeriformes, Corvidae.
CUUCCUUGCACCAUCCUCAAGCACUGCUCCCCACCCUGCUCCCAGGGCUGGCAAAGCCCUUUUGACCAUGGACAAGCACUGCAGGACUUUCCUUGGCUGUUGAUUGGGAUGCUGUCACUCUCCUCUACGGGACUUGGCCGCGCUGGUACCAGUGUGACAUGAGACUCUGUUGUUUUUCAGAUUUCCUACCAAGUCGUUAAUGAGCUGUCAAUUAUUUGUGCAAAUUAAGAGGCAAGCACUGAAAAUUAGACACCAGAAAAGAAACAUUUCCUCAAGUCUUGGGAAAUACAAGACUACUUUUAACGAUUCUCUUAAAAUUGAUGAAUCUUCAUUUAUAUCAGAACAAAAGCUACUUUAUAUAAGGUACCACAUGUGAUUUCCCAGUUGGUGCUCAGCCACAUGGAAACUUCUCCACCUUUAGCACAACCCAUAGGAUGAGAAUGUUGGUGGCAAAGGUAGCAGGAAUAUGGCCAGGAAAUCUCAGCACCUUCUAAAGCAGAUGGAAGGGAAAUUUGCUUCAUCUAUGUCGGAAAAAACAUUAAGUUUUCUUUAUCCCCCUGCCAUUUUAGCCUCUGCUACUCAUUCCCAUCCUGCAGUUGUGUGAAUAGUAAUUGUGUGUGGCUACAUUCUGAGAUCCUGGAAACCACUAAUGUGAAAAAUGAGAACAAUAAUAAUAUUCUAACCAUCUUUUUGUCAUCUCAAUCACCAGUUGCCCUUACAAGACAAAAUUAGCAAUUUUAAUCACUGUGACAGGGAUUUUAAAUCAUCCUCUCCAAGAAAAUAUUAUGUUUUUCUAAGUUUUAAUUAUGCAAAGGGUUACUCUUAAGAGGCUACAGCAGGAUAUUUCAUAUGCUUAAAUUUAAUCACAUGCAUAAGUCAUUACAGAAUCAGAGACUGGUAUUUUUACUGGGAGACCCAGCAUUUUCCCUUGAAGGAAGGAUUGCUUCCCUUUGUCAGUCCUGACUCUAAUGUUCUGAGAAACCUGAAUUCAGACUGGAGCAGAUGUGGAUAUCCAAAAAGCUGCAUUGAUCUCCAGUGAAAUAUCAGAUCUUUCCUACCAGGAGAAGAAGUUAGGUGCUUCCUCUACCAGAGGGUACAGACCAAAGGUGAAACACAGAUGCCAAGAAGAAAGGGCUUAGAAAUCCCUGAAAAUUAUAAAAAUAAAAACUUCUGGAUCCUCAUUCUCCUUAAUGGACCAGU